This 253-nucleotide ribosomal RNA is filed under the name uncultured bacterium. RNAcentral describes it as "partial 16S ribosomal RNA". It matches the Rfam family "Bacterial small subunit ribosomal RNA", at positions 524 to 776 of the family's 1533-position model. The record is from RNAcentral.
GACGAACCGAGCGAACGUUGUUCGGAAUCACUGGGCUUAAAGGGCGCGUAGGCGGGUAUCCAAGUCUAUGGUGAAAUCCGGCAGCUUAACUGUCGAACUGCCGUGGAUACUGGGUAUCUCGAGGGAGGUAGGGGCGUGCGGAACUAUUGGUGGAGCGGUGAAAUGCGUUGAUAUCAAUAGGAACACCGGUGGCGAAGGCGGCAUCCUGGACCGGCAUUGACGCUGAGGCGCGAAAGCCAGGGGAGCAAACGGG